CAAAUUAAAGCUAAAUGAGCAUUAUUAUUUACAUUAAUAAUACGGGUGUGAAAUUCCCCUGAUUUGA
RNAcentral lists this transfer RNA (67 nucleotides) under Pygovepres vaccinicola. RNAcentral's name for it is "tRNA-Val". Lineage: Eukaryota; Metazoa; Arthropoda; Insecta; Hemiptera; Miridae. The record is from RNAcentral.